This is a long non-coding RNA of Cyprinus carpio (common carp), 353 nucleotides long. RefSeq lists it as uncharacterized. The record is from RefSeq and is a predicted model, not a curated record. NCBI's taxonomy places the organism in Eukaryota, Metazoa, Chordata, Actinopteri, Cypriniformes, Cyprinidae. The transcript has 3 exons.
UGUGACGGAGACGCUGCGGAUCAUCAGCUGUGGAGCAGAUAAGAGUGUUUACAUCCGCACCGCUCACAGGACGGUCCGAGGAGCUGAAUUCAAGCGGACUCAUCAUGUGGUUCGUAAAGCGACUCCUAAUGACAUGGAUGUGGAUCCCUCCUGCAAGUACGCGGCGGUGGGCUGUCAGGACCGCAGCAUUCGAGUUAUCAGCAUCAGCAGCGGCAAACAGAAGAGAUCCUUCAGCGGCUCUCAGACUGGAGACGGCGGUUUGCUGAAGGUCAGAUCACGCAGCUCAUCUAGUGCUCACCGUGAUUCAAACAAACACCCGACGUGUGUAGAAGCCGUUCCACACAUAGAACAAU